GACGAACGCUGGCGGCGUGCUUAACACAUGCAAGUCGAACGGAAAGGCCUCUUUCGGGGGGUACUCGAGUGGCGAACGGGUGAGUAACACGUGAGUUACCUGCCCUUGACUUUGGGAUAACUUCAGGAAACUGGGGCUAAUACCGGAUAGGAGCUCCUGCUGCAUGGUGGGGGUUGGAAAGUUUCGGCGGUUGGGGAUGGACUCGCGGCUUAUCAGCUUGUUGGUGGGGUAGUGGCUUACCAAGGCUUUGACGGGUAGCCGGCCUGAGAGGGUGACCGGCCACAUUGGGACUGAGAUACGGCCCAGACUCCUACGGGAGGCAGCAGUGGGGAAUAUUGCACAAUGGGUGGAAGCCUGAUGCAGCAACGCCGUGUGCGGGAUGACGGCCUUCGGGUUGUAAACCGCUUUCGCUCAUGACGAAGCUUUGUGUGACGGUAGUGGGUAAAGAAGCACCGGCUAACUACGUG
Molecule: ribosomal RNA, 467 nt
Filed under: uncultured bacterium
Lineage: Bacteria
Description: partial 16S ribosomal RNA
Rfam family: Bacterial small subunit ribosomal RNA
Source: RNAcentral